RNAcentral lists this ribosomal RNA (503 nucleotides) under uncultured bacterium. RNAcentral's name for it is "partial 16S ribosomal RNA". It matches the Rfam family "Bacterial small subunit ribosomal RNA", at positions 30 to 523 of the family's 1533-position model. The record is from RNAcentral.
AUUGAACGCUGGCGGCAGGCUUAACACAUGCAAGUCGAGCGGGGUGAUGGUGCUUGCACUAUCACUUAGCGGCGGACGGGUGAGUAAUGCUUAGGAAUCUGCCUAUUAGUGGGGGACAACAUCUCGAAAGGGAUGCUAAUACCGCAUACGUCAUACGGGAGAAAGCAGGGGAUCACUUGUCACCUUGCGCUAAUAGAUGAGCAUAAGUCGGAUUAGCUAGUUGGUGGGGUAAAGGCCUACCAAGGCGACGAUCUGUAGCGGGUCUGAGAGGAUGAUCCGCCACACUGGGACUGAGACACGGCCCAGACUCCUACGGGAGGCAGCAGUGGGGAAUAUUGGACAAUGGGGGGAACCCUGAUCCAGCCAUGCCGCGUGUGUGAAGAAGGCCUUAUGGUUGUAAAGCACUUUAAGCGAGGAGGAGGCUCUUUUGGUUAAUACCCAAGAUGAGUGGACGUUACUCGCAGAAUAAGCACCGGCUAACUCUGUGCCAGCAGCCGCGGUAA